RNAcentral lists this transfer RNA (34 nucleotides) under Carex duriuscula. RNAcentral describes it as "partial tRNA-Leu". Lineage: Eukaryota; Viridiplantae; Streptophyta; Magnoliopsida; Poales; Cyperaceae. The record is from RNAcentral.
GACUUAAAAUCCGUCGAUUUUUUAAAUCAUGAGG